Molecule: long non-coding RNA, 1639 nt
Organism: Cephus cinctus (wheat stem sawfly)
Lineage: Eukaryota; Metazoa; Arthropoda; Insecta; Hymenoptera; Cephidae
Exons: 3
Source: RefSeq, a predicted model, not a curated record
GCCAGGAGUACUUUGAUGAAUAUUGAUGCAAAAAGCGUGUCGCUGUUUCAACGUCCACGGCCCGUGAAGGACUCAAAACCGCAUGGUCGUUCCACGAUGUUAAAUCCGACACAUAGCAGUCUGUUCUAACGUGAUACUCAUAAUCAUGGAGAUGGUAAGUAUCGUGAGUAAUAUCCCAUUAAUGUUUCCCGGUGGGCCCGCUACGGGCCCAUUUUAAUGGGGCCCUUCAAGGUGGAAUCGAGCCUAUACGAUAUUCCAUUCGCGUUCGUGGCAGUCUAAUUUAAGCUGCCCGUUUUUCGUGCGAUACGCAAGGCCCAACCGUACUGGUUGGGUCCCAUACGAGUUUAGUGAGGAUAGUUAUGGUUAUGCGAGAUCGGUACAGCCAUAACAUUAUACCACGUUCAAAGUUAUGGUGCCCCAGAGCCCAGCUUGUGCGAUGCUCAAAUCUCUCUACGUGUUUCUCGCCCAUUCUCAACCUCGCUUGGGCCUUAUAUUGAACCCCAUAACGCCUGUUGUCAAUACUUGCGUCAUCCUUACUGGCACCUAAUACUCUUCAAGUUAUAUUGGCUAUCUCAACUAUUCGGUUACUCGUAUUCGUUUGAACAGCUUAGUCCCUGACUAGAUUCUGGGCCUUAUCCAACGUCACCGGGUCCCAGCGAUUCCUAUGGAUACCCAUUCCCCUCGCGUGUUCCCUACUAUUUGCUCCUUUUUUCACGGAGGCUUUGCUGACCCUGCCUGGAGCCUCGAAUGGCGCAAUUUGUCCGAGAAAGGGCCCUUAAAAGAAAAGGGACGGGGGCCCCUUUAUCGCUUCCAAGGAUCUCAGCUUUCUGCGAGUUCCAGGAUCUCACUGUUACUGACCUAAUUUUAAUAAGACCCAAGUACUCCAUAUUCUUUCUCCCCAUAUUUUUAUCCGUUCACAAAAAUAUUUUUCUAUAAAACUUCAUCAGCCUAAUCUGCCCCUUAUGGUCCCAGUAACCUAACGAAAUGUACAAUAAAUUAUGAUUACAAUAAUUCAACAAGAUAUCUUAGUGAUAACCAUGCUUGGACAUAUGCAAUCCUUGAAAUAGGUGGAAUUAAUGGCUGAUACUAGAGAGUGCGUCUAAGAAAAGAAAAAAAGAUGGCCAUCACGAAGGUUAAGACAAGUUCCAGAGAAAUGAGACCAAGAACGAGGAUGAUGCCAGGCUGCAUUAUUUACGACUCCGACAAAUAAUAACGAAGGCCCUUUUCAACCACGUGUUUAUGAGAUAGGUGUGGGAUGGCUCCCGAACUACGCGGACCAUUCUUCCACGAGGGGCUGUACAGGCCAAGGGAAACAUUUCUACGGACAAAAAAUGUUCACAAGCACCAUCAAUGAUUCUCCACCGCGUCCAAGGAAUACUAAACUAUUUUAUUAUGUGAAUAAAAAAAAAAUUAAAAUAUAUAAAACCAAUAUUUGUCUCGCCUCUCACGAUUAUUGUCUCCUAGAGUCUCGAAACGACUCGUAACUACUACUAGUCCUAAAUAAUACGGCAAUUCCACCGUCUCGCGUCUCCUUCAUACAUGCCUACAGUGCCCCCACCCAAAGUACCUCGUUCGCUGUCGGCUAAUGAUAAUAACACGUCAGGUCCGUCGAGACUCACCCGAGAAAACCCGUUGCAGC